This is an RNA transcript of Salmo salar (Atlantic salmon), 1563 nucleotides long. It is a transcript of the gene named Rh blood group, D antigen, with no coding region annotated. NCBI's taxonomy places the organism in Eukaryota, Metazoa, Chordata, Actinopteri, Salmoniformes, Salmonidae. The record is from RefSeq and is marked provisional.
CAUAAACAGAUAAAACAGAGGGUAAAGUAGCUGCUCUUCCUUGCCCAAUGGGACAUUCCGGUUUCGCGUAGAAGGGGUUGUGCGCAGACAAUUCUGUUUUGGAAUCAUUUGGUCAUUUUUGGUUAGAAGCGCCGAUGGCUCCCCAAUACGCACAGAGUCUCCGCUUUCGUCUGCCGCCUCUGCUCUUUUUCCUGCAGACGGGAUUCAUCGUAGUAUUUAUUUUUUAUGUUGACAUUGAACAAAAUGUACAAACUAAACAACAUGCAUUCACCAACUAUUACUCAGAAUUUCAGGAUGUUCAUGUGAUGGUGAUUCUGGGUUUUGGCUUUCUGGCCACAUUCCUGGUGCGGUACAGCUUCAGUGGAGCAGGAUUUACCCUCCUAGUGGCAGCCAUGGCUGUCCAGUGGGCAGUUAUCCUGAACGGUGUUGAGUCUAUGUAUCACAGAGGAAAGAUCUGGAUAAAUAUGAGAAGUUUGGUUGUUGCAGAGAUGUGCACAGCUUCCUCCCUCAUUGCCAUAGGUGCUGUCCUUGGGAAGACCAAUCCUGUCCAUCUCCUUCUUAUUGCCCUGUUGGAGAUAUCUGGAUUUGUGCUGAAUGGCUGGCUACUCCAGACAUUCCUAAAGGUGCAGUUUCUGAAUACCAUCAUGCUUCUCCACAUCUUUGGGGCCUUCUUUGGACUGAUGCUAUCAUGGGUCCUGUACAGACAGGGAUCCGAGCAACAGCAUGAGAAAGAGAAAAUUGACCGCAAGACCGGUCUGUUCUCUGUAAUGGGGACUCUGUUCCUGUGGAUGUUCUGGCCCAGUUUUAACUCUGUGCUGGUAGAGGUGGAUCAUCUUGACAGAGGGAGGAACCUGAGAGCUGUCUACAGCACCUACCUGGCCCUGGCAGUCAGUGCCGUCACAGCUGCUGGUUUCUCUGUCCUCACUAGUCCCCAAGGGAAACUCAACCUGUUUCAUAUUCAGAGAUGUACUCUUGCUGGUGGUGUUGCUAUUGGGGUUGCUAUGUCAGCCGUUCAUUUGCCGUGGGUAGCUAUGGCGAUUGGAUUUGCUGCUGCACUGAUAUCAACCUUGGGAUCCCGAUACAUUAAGCCCCUCAUGCUGUUUGCGUUUGAGUGUCAUGACACCUGCGGAGUCCUUAGUGUCCAUGGUCUGCCUGGAAUCCUGGGGUGGAUGGUUCAACUUCUCCUACAGAUCGCUGACUCUGAUGAUCUCACAACGUUUUCUUCUGAAAUGUAAUUUCUGGAGGCCACCCCAGAACAAGAAAUUCUUUGAUGACCAGGCCUUCUGGGAUUUUCCCCACCUAGGCGGGAAAAAUUGAGAGGUUGGAAAAGAAAAAAGGAACAAGUGUUGAGUGUCAGGAGAGCAAUGAACCAAUGCAUCAUUUCAACCAUACAAUAUUCCCAUGCAUCUUCAACUUAUUACAUUUUUCAAAAUGUGUAGUAUGUGAAACCAGCACUGGAAUAUGUGAUUGUGAUUAUUUUGUGUUAGUCAAACUUUCAAUAUUAGCCAAGAUAAGAGAGAAACUGGCCUGUGAGAGCUGCGAAUAAAGACUUGUCAUCUCGUA